Molecule: ribosomal RNA, 853 nt
Filed under: Russula dissimulans
Lineage: Eukaryota; Fungi; Basidiomycota; Agaricomycetes; Russulales; Russulaceae
Description: eukaryotic LSU rRNA
Rfam family: Eukaryotic large subunit ribosomal RNA
Source: RNAcentral
AGUAACGGCGAGUGAAGCGGGAAAAGCUCAAAUUUAAAAUCUGGCGGCCUCUGGUCGUCCGAGUUGUAAUUUAGAGAAGCGUCUUCCGCGCUGGACCGUGCACAAGUCUCCUGGAAUGGAGCGUCAUAGAGGGUGAGAAUCCCGUCUUUGGCACGGAUGCACCAGGGCUUUUGUGAUGCGCUCUCGAAGAGUCGAGUUGUUUGGGAAUGCAGCUCAAAAUGGGUGGUGAACUCCAUCUAAAGCUAAAUAUUGGCGAGAGACCGAUAGCGAACAAGUACCGUGAGGGAAAGAUGAAAAGCACUUUGGAAAGAGAGUGAAACAGUACGUGAAAUUGUUGAAAGGGAAACGCUUGAAGUCAGUCGCGUCGACCGAGACUCAGCCUUGCCUUGGCUCGGUGUACUUCUCGGUCGACGGGUCAGCAUCAAUUUUGCCCCUCGGAUAAUGGCGAGAGAAAGGUGGCACCCUCACGGGUGUGUUAUAGUCUCCCGUCGGAUGCGAGGGUCGGGAUUGAGGAACUCGGCACGUACCGUGCUUAGGAUGUUGGCGUAAUGGCUUUAAACGACCCGUCUUGAAACACGGACCAAGGAGUCUAACAUGCCCGCGAGUGUUCGGGUGGAAAACCCGUGCGCGUAAUGAAAGUAAAAGUUGGGACCUCUGUCGUGGGGGGCACCGACGCCCGGACCAGACCUUCUGUGACGGAUCUGCGGUAGAGCGUGCAUGUUGGGACCCGAAAGAUGGUGAACUAUGCCUGAAUAGGGUGAAGCCAGAGGAAACUCUGGUGGAGGCUCGUAGCGAUUCUGACGUGCAAAUCGAUCGUCAAAUUUGGGUAUAGGGGCGAAAGACUAAUCGAACC